GAACGCACAUUGCGCCCUCUGGUAUUCCGGGGGGCAUGCCUGUUCGAGCGUCAUUACAACCCUCAAGCUCUGCUUGGUAUUGGGUGCCGCCCCUCACGGGGCGCGCCUUAAAGACAGUGGCGGUGCCGUCCGGCUCCAAGCGUAGUAAUUCUUCUCGCUCUGGAGGACCGGCCGCGUGCCCGCCAGAACCCCCAAUUUUUUCAGGUUGACCUCGGAUCAGGUAGGGAUACCCGCUGAACUUAAG
RNAcentral lists this unclassified non-coding RNA (244 nucleotides) under Flagellospora fusarioides. RNAcentral describes it as "sequence contains 5.8S rRNA gene". The stretch from base 1 to 53 matches the Rfam family "5.8S ribosomal RNA", at positions 102 to 154 of the family's 154-position model. Lineage: Eukaryota; Fungi; Ascomycota; Leotiomycetes; Leotiales; Leotiaceae. The record is from RNAcentral.